CCUACGGGAGGCAGCAGUGGGGAAUAUUGGGCAAUGGGCGCAAGCCUGACCCAGCAACGCCGCGUGAAGGAAGAAGGCUCUCGGGUUGUAAACUUCUUGUAUCAGGGACGAAGCAAGUGACGGUACCGGAGGAAUAAGCCACGGCUAACGACGGGCCAGCAGCCGCGGUAAUACGUAGGUGGCAAGCGUUAUCCGGAUUUACUGGGUGUAAAGGGCGUGUAGGCGGGAAAGCAAGUCAGAUGGGAAAACCAUGGGCUCAACCUGUGGCCUGCAUUUGAAACUGUUUUUCUUGAGUACUGGAGAGGCAGCCGGCAUUCCUAGUGUCGCGGUGACAUGCGUAGAUAUUAGGAGGACCCCCAGUGGCGAAGGCGGUCUGCUGGACAGCACCUGACGCUGAGGCGCGACAGCGUGGGGAGCAAACAGGAUUAGAUACCCUUGUAGUC
Molecule: ribosomal RNA, 443 nt
Filed under: uncultured bacterium
Lineage: Bacteria
Description: partial 16S ribosomal RNA
Rfam family: Bacterial small subunit ribosomal RNA
Source: RNAcentral